Molecule: ribosomal RNA, 253 nt
Filed under: uncultured bacterium
Lineage: Bacteria
Description: partial 16S ribosomal RNA
Rfam family: Bacterial small subunit ribosomal RNA
Source: RNAcentral
UACGAAGGGGGCUAGCGUUGCUCGGAAUUACUGGGCGUAAAGGGUUCGUAGGUGGCCUGCUAAGUCAGACGUGAAAUCCCUCAGCUUAACUGGGGAACUGCGUCUGAGACUGGUGGGCUUGAGUGCAGGAGAGGAACGCGGAAUUCCAGGUGUAGCGGUGAAAUGCGUAGAUAUCUGGAGGAACACCGGUGGCGAAGGCGGCGUUCUGGACUGUUACUGACACUGAUGAACGAAAGCCAGGGGAGCAAACGGG